UGUAUUCUUUGUUUCAAAAAGAAGAUAUACAAAUAAAAAAUACAGAAAUAUGUAGUGGAAAAGGGAACAUCCCCAGUCAUCCCAGCUUUGGAACUCAGUAUCAUCCAAAAAGAGCAGUUUUAUGUCCAAAUGACUUUUUCCUUCAAAUAUUUGGAAAGCUUGUAUUUUAAAGUGGGGCAGGAAAUUUUAUAUUUCAUAAUCUUUAGACUUAGGACAUUAAACUGAAGUACAUUUGAAAUUACUCCAAAUAUAUUUUGUAGCCUACCCAUUAACCCUUUAUAUACUUAUUAAUUGAAAUGUACUUUCUUUCCUAGAAUGGAAUCUAUAGAGAAAAUGGAGUCUGAUUUUAAAAACUGCCAUAUGUUUCUUGUAACCGUUUUAAACAAAGCUGUCUGCAGAGGAUCCUUUCCCCAUUUGGAAUCUCUCGCACUGUCACUCAUGGCUGGCAUGGAACAAAGUUAAAUAUCUUUAAUGUAGUAAAUACCCAAGAUUUGAUCUUUAUACAUAAAUAAUUCCACCACAUGCAGCUGAGAAACCAGAAUCUCUAUUUUGGUUCAUUUUAAAAACUGUUGUCUACUAUCGAGACAAGUACAUUUGUAGGUGUUUUCUUUGAUAUUAUUGGAUAGUAUAUAAGGUUAUGUGUAUAAAAUUAUAUCAAUAAAGCAAAAUGUAUAUAA
Molecule: non-coding RNA, 677 nt
Organism: Leptonychotes weddellii (Weddell seal)
Lineage: Eukaryota; Metazoa; Chordata; Mammalia; Carnivora; Phocidae
Source: RefSeq, a predicted model, not a curated record